This 352-nucleotide ribosomal RNA is filed under the name Schistocerca lineata (birdwing grasshopper). RNAcentral's name for it is "partial 16S ribosomal RNA". Lineage: Eukaryota; Metazoa; Arthropoda; Insecta; Orthoptera; Acrididae. The record is from RNAcentral.
UUAUUUAUUUUAUUAUAUUUAUUUUUUGUUUAUUUAAUUAUUUAAUAGAAAUAAUUUUAUUGAAUUUUGUCUUAGUAUAUUUUGUAGAAUUGAUUUUUUAAAUUAUAGUUUAUUGGUAAUGUAAUUGUUUUAUGAAAUAUUAUUUUAAAUUUUUAAAAGUAUAUUUUAUUUAUUGUACCCUUUGUAUCAGGGUUUAUCAAAAUUUUAGUAUUUAAUUUACUUGUCUCGAUUUGGGUUGAUUUAUAAAUAAUUUACAGUUAAUGUAUCAUAAUUAUUAUUAAAUUAUUUAUKGAAAUGAAAUGUUAAUCGUUUCCCAAGAUAUCUAGUUUCUUAAGAAAAAUUUUAAUUUUUU